RNAcentral lists this long non-coding RNA (222 nucleotides) under Elaeis guineensis (African oil palm). Its description in RNAcentral is "long non-coding RNA (EGUI_LNC016846)". The record is from RNAcentral. Lineage: Eukaryota; Viridiplantae; Streptophyta; Magnoliopsida; Arecales; Arecaceae.
CCUUUAAAUACGCUUUCAGGUUAGGCCAAAUUCUUUUAUUUUGCAAAAUAGUCCAGGCUGAGCCUCAUUUUAAGUCUGAACCAGUCGAACAAGCCAGGCUUAUGCUAAUAUUUUACAAUACAAGCUUGGCCUGUUUAAGCCAAAGCCUGGCUUGGCCUAGUCUAUUUCCAACCCUACUCGAUAUGGGGGCUGUAUCCUGCCUUGGUAUGCCAAACCGUCCCC